Vidua chalybeata is the source of this 647-nucleotide long non-coding RNA. RefSeq lists it as uncharacterized. NCBI's taxonomy places the organism in Eukaryota, Metazoa, Chordata, Aves, Passeriformes, Viduidae. The transcript has 3 exons. The record is from RefSeq and is a predicted model, not a curated record.
UUUAGCCUUGUGCUGCUGAUGCUGCUUAAGAGGCUGAAUGCCUCUUCUAGAUCUGGAGGAUCCUGCAAAAUCCUCGCCCCUGCUUUCGGCAAAUCCUUGCGAACAGAGAGCUCUGAUUCCCCGAGAAUUCGGUGCAAACAGGGAACUCCGGUUACACAACCCCGCGGCCGCGGUGACUCAGCUGAGCUGGCUCACGAGGAGCCCUGUGACCGCCGGGAGGUGACUCGGGAACAGAUGACAUCAGCAAAAAGCUUCUUCCCACCAUCGCUGGGAUCAAUCGAGCCCAGAGCUGGGCAAGCAGCGAGACUUCCAGGGAGGUGGAGAGCACCUCCAUCCACAAACCUCAUUUCUUGGUCUAAGGCUGACAAGAGAGUCACUGCUGCAGAUCAUCCAUGAGAAACCCACUCAUCUCUGUCCCAUGCCCAAGUUACAGAAGGUCUCUGCACAUAUUUUGGGAUCCACGUUUACCUCAGGAUUGUCCAGCUGGUGACUGACCAUGGUUGGUGGGAUGACUUCCCAUCUCUGAAGGCAUUUUUGCAGUAUUUCACCACGUGACUCUGUCCUCCAGGAACCCCCGUGAGAAUUUUGUCCUUACCCGGAGCGCCCAGGAGGAGGAGAAUGACAACGACUGCAAAGAGCAGCUGGAG